CACGUGUGCGGUGAGUUGUUCUGCCCUAAUUGCUCAAUGAAUUUGAACAUUUUGAGUUUCCAAAGAUCAUAUACGUCGGUUCGCGCCCGUUCACCUUUUGCUACAUGAUAUGAGAUGAAGUACAAGAAGUAUCUCUUGGAGAACAAAGACAUUCCACGAACAACACAGCAUCGCUGGAGAAGACGAACCCACCAUGUUGGAGUCCGUGUACCUCAAAAUGCUGUCUUUGAUGUGUUACAGCAAGACCCAGCUUUGUUUGACAUGCAUAUCAAGCACAUGAGCGAUACUUUGCAGCAAGAAGUUGCAAAGGAUUCAACUACACCUCAUGGUUCAAGCAUCCUACACAAUAAAGUGGAAGUCAAUGUGCAGGUAAGGAUACGGUGCCAUACAAACAUUACAUUUUCUGUUAUGCUUUCAGGUUUUAACUGAUUGGGUUACAUCUGAUGGUGUACAUGGUACCAGCAAAGUAUAUGCUUUAAUACUUGUAAGUGAUUCCGUUGCCCGUCCACUCCUACAGAACUUUAAGCAGUUCAAUGGGGAGUUUGGAUGUUCUUUUUGUCUUCAGAAGGGAACAGUUGUCGAACUUGGUCGGGGAAAGGCCAUUUGAGGAAAAUAUAGAAC
Molecule: long non-coding RNA, 621 nt
Organism: Esox lucius (northern pike)
Lineage: Eukaryota; Metazoa; Chordata; Actinopteri; Esociformes; Esocidae
Source: Ensembl